Molecule: long non-coding RNA, 1427 nt
Organism: Prunus avium (sweet cherry)
Lineage: Eukaryota; Viridiplantae; Streptophyta; Magnoliopsida; Rosales; Rosaceae
Source: RefSeq, a predicted model, not a curated record
AAAAAAUUCACACAACCUCUGCUAUAUAAACAUAAAGCCACAUAUUUUACACCCAUCAGUUUUCUUCAUCGACUUAGAACUCUCAAAUUCUUUGGUGAUCUUUUUGGCUAUAAAAUUAGAAAGGAAAAACUCUCUAAUUCUUCACUUCAUACAUACAUCAAGCGGCCAAAGUCUAAACAGAGAAAGAAAGUCAGUGGGUCAGAAAAGAUUCUUGGGUUGGGAGGAUCAUCAUAUUUGGAGUGAUCAUGUUUACCAUUUCAAAGGGAUUUGCUGUUAUAUCUGCAACUAAGAACCUCCAACUACCGUUCAUAGAAGAUAUAUUUGCAUCAGGGCGCACAAGAUUUUUGGAAUGGGUGGUUUCGGAAAAUCAGGUUCAACUGUUGGAAUUAAAAAAAGGUAGAGGGAAGGCUAAGGGUAAAGAUGGAAAUGGCACUCUAAUUGUAAUACGUAGAGGAAGGAUAUACACACACAUGCUCAUAAGAAGAGAUGAGGGAGGCAUUCGAAGAACAUAUUAAAUUGCGAUAUUCCGAUUGGAUGUCGUCAUUGAGAAAUAGCGUUUUUAAGAAAUACAAGACUACUGGUGAUAGAUACACUCAUUGCCCAUUAGGGAUAUCUCAAGAUGUUUGGUCUAAACUGGUUGAUCAUUGGUUGCAGGCUACAUGGCAGGAUAAAAGUAAAAGAAACAAGUCUAAUAGGGCGAAAUCCACAAUUGUGCAUACAACAGGUUUUGUUCCAGUGGAAAAGUACAGAAAAGUUGAUAUAAAAAUAUCCAUUUGGUUGUUGCUUUUUGUUGACUGUUCCUUUUGUGGUUAUUUCCAAAUUUGGUCCUAACAAACUUCAUUGUUUAAAUCUUACUAGCUUGAUCAAACUGGAAUUGAACCGAGUCCAAUUGUUUCAAAAAGUUUCAUGUAAGUAAGCCUAAGAAUUGAGGGGAAGAAAGUUGGCCAAGUGAAACGGCUAAAGAACUUUUUGAUAAAAUGGAGAAUAAAAAGGUUGCUGCAACGGAAGACGAGAAUGAAGUAGAUGAUUGGGAUAUAUACAAGGAGGUUAUUGGUAGGCCAAGUCACGGUCGUAUCCUUGGCUUGGGUGGUGGCUAUAGUACAAAAGAUGUGUAUCCCUCGGAUGACCAAAGUUGUAAUAAACGUAUAUGCUUAGAACGUGAAGAAGAGCAUGAGAAAUUAAAAGAGGAAGUGAAGAACUUGAAAAGUGUGCUGUAUGAAUUGAAAGAUCUAGUUCAAAGUAUGAGGGAAAACAACUCAAAUACUUAUGCACGCUCAAGACAGUCCGCUUCAAUGGACAAUGUAGAAAGUUGUUCAGAUGCUCACCUCGAAGACGAGUAGUGCAACAUCAAUUGUAUUUUGCUACAAUAUGUAUUUUGAAUUUCAAUGUUUUAAUAUAUUUGCGGAUUGUUUAUAUGUUUCAAGGAU